GUUAUAUUAUUGUCAAUAAAUUUUUUUAGUGGUAAAUUAGUAAAUCAUUGUUGAAGACAGGCAUUUUUUUAAUAUUUUUAAUGAGAAAUUAGGUUGCUGUCACAUUGACAUAUACUUUUAUCUGUUUUAAUUUAACUCAUUAGUUUAACUCUAUACACUUGGAUGGACAAAUUGAUGCAAGUACGUAAGUAUGUUUUCUGCUGAAAGUCCCAGUAACAAAAUUGUCAUUAAUGUAUUUUUUUAAAAUAGAUAAUACUGUAAUCGUUGUGUACUGUUAUCAUUUUGUACAGGAAAAACUUCCCAAGUUGGUGUAUAAAUAAAUGAAUUUGAAUCAGUGAUCAAAUAAAAUAGUUGUAGACCUAAUCAAAUCUUGGAA
RNAcentral lists this long non-coding RNA (376 nucleotides) under Mytilus galloprovincialis (Mediterranean mussel). Lineage: Eukaryota; Metazoa; Mollusca; Bivalvia; Mytilida; Mytilidae. The record is from RNAcentral.